CCUACGGGAGGCUGCAGUGGGGAAUAUUGCACAAUGGGGGAAACCCUGAUGCAGCGACGCCGCGUGAGUGAAGAAGUAUUUCGGUAUGUAAAGCUCUAUCAGCAGGGAAGAAAAUGACGGUACCUGAUUAAGAAGCCCCGGCUAACUACGUGCCAGCAGCCGCGGUAAUACGUAGGGGGCAAGCGUUAUCCGGAUUUACUGGGUGGAAAGGGAGCGUAGACGGCAGCACAAGUCUGGAGUGAAAUGCCGGGGCUUAACCCCGGAACUGCUUUGGAAACUAUGCAGCUAGAGUGCAGGAGAGGUAAGGGGAAUUCCUAGUGUAGCGGUGAAAUGCGUAGAUAUUAGGAGGAACACCAGUGGCGAAGGCGGUUUACUGGACUGUGACUGACGUUGAGGCUCGAAAGCGUGGGGAGCAAACAGGAUUAGAUACCCGGGUAGUC
Molecule: ribosomal RNA, 440 nt
Filed under: uncultured bacterium
Lineage: Bacteria
Description: partial 16S ribosomal RNA
Rfam family: Bacterial small subunit ribosomal RNA
Source: RNAcentral